This is a long non-coding RNA of Panicum virgatum (switchgrass), 741 nucleotides long. RefSeq lists it as uncharacterized. The record is from RefSeq and is a predicted model, not a curated record. NCBI's taxonomy places the organism in Eukaryota, Viridiplantae, Streptophyta, Magnoliopsida, Poales, Poaceae. The transcript is spliced from 4 exons.
CCGCGCCGACCACACGCCAGAUGGGCUGGCCGCACCACGCCGCGCCCGCGCUACCUGGCGACCCCAGCUAGCGGCCGCCGCCCUCGGCGGCCGCCAACGACUGGCGCUCGCGACUGCCGGGCGCCGGAUCCACAUGCCACCGGAGAGGGGGAGAUCAUCUUGCUGGUGCUCAGUUUUGAAUCUUGGGAUGCACACAAUCUGUUUGACUAAAUGCUUCAGGUUGGAGACGAUCACGGUGGCUCCAGUGCUGGGGAUCGCAAGAGCUCCUUGGCAUUUCGUUAAGAACAUGGGCUGAGAAUGACAAUACAAACAAAAGGAAUUUUAAAGACUUCGACAAUAAUCAGCAGGACUCGAAUGGUAGUAGCGAUGAUGACAAAUUGACAAUACCCCUUUGAAACAAACUAAAACAACACGCUCAUAAGGGAAGAUCAACCAGUAAGGAGCUAGCACCAGCUAUGUCUACAUAUGAACAAAUAGAAACUAUCUUUUGUUGUAUAUGACGCCUCUGAGAAGAAUGGUUAGACGAGCUGGAACUAAUAUCAACAAUGUGAAAAAAAGGUGGAUCUUUUGUUAUAAAUACUCCCUAGAGGAUCAGUUUCCACCUCAUCUGUUCUCGCUUUUGGACAGAAACUAUCUUUUGUUGUAUAUAACAGCUCUAAGAACAAUAGUCAGAGCAGAAGAUCCUCACCCUUUUGUUAUAAAUAUUACAUAUUGCCAAUCCUACCGUUUCUGGAACUGAUA